UUAAUAUCUAAUUAAUCAGGUUCCCCGGUUAUGUCGGGGGUGAAAAGGGAACCGGGUGUGAAUCCCGGACGGUCCGGCCACUGUAAGUGGGGAGCGGUUCCCCAAAUGCCACUGGGUCUUGUGCCUGGGAAGGCGGGGAAUAUGCUGUGAACCACAAGUCAGGAGACCUGCCUGUUUGAUUUGGGUACC
RNAcentral lists this non-coding RNA (189 nucleotides) under Desulfofarcimen acetoxidans. The record is from RNAcentral. RNAcentral also lists the same sequence under 1 other name. Lineage: Bacteria; Bacillati; Bacillota; Clostridia; Eubacteriales; Peptococcaceae.